RNAcentral lists this ribosomal RNA (253 nucleotides) under uncultured bacterium. Its description in RNAcentral is "partial 16S ribosomal RNA". It matches the Rfam family "Bacterial small subunit ribosomal RNA", at positions 524 to 776 of the family's 1533-position model. The record is from RNAcentral.
UACGUGGGGUGCGAGCGUUAUUCGGAAUUACUGGGCGUAAAGAGCACGUAGGCGGGCUCGUAUGUCAGUUGUGAAAGCCCUGGGCUCAACCUGGGGACUGCAGCUGAAACUGCGAGUCUUGAGUAUCUGAGAGGAUGGGAGAAUUGCUGGUGUAGUAGUGAAAUACGUAGAUAUCAGCAGGAAUACCUGAGGCGAAGGCGCCUAUCUGGCAGAGUACUGACGCUGAGGUGCGAAAGCGUGGGGAGCAAACAGG